UGUAUAAUGGGUCAGCGACUUAUAUUCUGUAGCAAGGUUAACCGAAUAGGGGAGCCGAAGGGAAACCGAGUCUUAACUGGGCGUUAAGUUGCAGGGUAUAGACCCGAAACCCGGUGAUCUAGCCAUGGGCAGGUUGAAGGUUGGGUAACACUAACUGGAGGACCGAACCGACUAAUGUUGAAAAAUUAGCGGAUGACUUGUGGCUGGGGGUGAAAGGCCAAUCAAACCGGGAGAUAGCUGGUUCUCCCCGAAAGCUAUUUAGGUAGCGCCUCGUGAAUUCAUCUCCGGGGGUAGAGCACUGUUUCGGCAAGGGGGUCAUCCCGACUUACCAACCCGAUGCAAACUGCGAAUACCGGAGAAUGUUAUCACGGGAGACACACGGCGGGUGCUAACGUCCGUCGUGAAGAGGGAAACAACCCAGACCGCCAGCUAAGGUCCCAAAGUCAUGGUUAAGUGGGAAACGAUGUGGGAAGGCCCAGACAGCCAGGAUGUUGGCUUAGAAGCAGCCAUCAUUUAAAGAAAGCGUAAUAGCUCACUGGUCGAGUCGGCCUGCGCGGAAGAUGUAACGGGGCUAAACCAUGCACCGAAGCUGCGGCAGCGACGCUGAUGCGUUGUUGGGUAGGGGAGCGUUCUGUAAGCCUGCGAAGGUGUGCUGUGAGGCAUGCUGGAGGUAUCAGAAGUGCGAAUGCUGACAUAAGUAACGAUAAAGCGGGUGAAAAGCCCGCUCGCCGGAAGACCAAGGGUUCCUGUCCAACGUUAAUCGGGGCAGGGUGAGUCGACCCCUAAGGCGAGGCCGAAAGGCGUAGUCGAUGGGAAACAGGUUAAUAUUCCUGUACUUGGUGUUACUGCGAAGGGGGGACGGAGAAGGCUAUGUUGGCCGGGCGACGGUUGUCCCGGUUUAAGCGUGUAGGCUGGUUUUCCAGGCAAAUCCGGAAAAUCAAGGCUGAGGCGUGAUGACGAGGCACUACGG
RNAcentral lists this ribosomal RNA (970 nucleotides) under Escherichia coli. RNAcentral's name for it is "partial 23S ribosomal RNA". It matches the Rfam family "Bacterial large subunit ribosomal RNA", at positions 609 to 1582 of the family's 2925-position model. The record is from RNAcentral. Lineage: Bacteria; Pseudomonadati; Pseudomonadota; Gammaproteobacteria; Enterobacterales; Enterobacteriaceae.